GUCCCUGAGUUACCUAGAGUACAGCAGCAGGAAGGACGAAGGAGUAGUGUGGCAGCUCCAGACAGGACAGGAAGUGAAGGCAGCAGAAUACAGGACGCAGUCAGGGUUAGUGUAAUAACUCCAGGGAAGACACAGACAGUGAGAGCAACAGCAGCAUUGCAGGAAGAUUUUGGAGACCAUAGCAGUCCUCUCCAACACUGGAUAUUGAGUGUGCAAUAUACCAUCUAAAGGAACCGGCGAGUCAGAAUGUCUGAGAAGAUCAAGUGUGCUUCUCCACUGAUGAUGAUGAGCUGGAUACCAGCUUAUGGGCUAAUUUCUUUCAUUCAUUGCCAGAGGACGGGACCAGAUGUGUUUGGAGUUGAAGACAAUGCUGAAGACCAAAGAAGCAACGGAAGAAGAACAUUUAAGCACUGAGGGUGUCCAGCCUGUUUGCCAUGACAGAUCCAGCGGCUAGAUGGCGGAAGAUGCUUCAAUACCCAAUUGCACUGAAUCAUUAGAUGAUCAAUUAAUUAAUAUUAAUAUAUAUUUUUAAAUUAUCUUAUUAUAUUAAAUAAUUGGUCUCAGUUUACUAUUUCAUAUAUUAGUUUGAAUAAUAAUGUUUUUAUAAUGUGUACGCCAUGCCUGAGGAGGAUGGGUUCCCCCUGAUGAGUCUGGUUCCUCUCAAGGUUUUUUAUCUCCUUAAGAGUUUUUUCCUUGCCACCGUCGCCACUGGCUUGCUCACUGGGGGUGUUGUGUCAAAUCCUGUGUCCCUCUCGCGUCCCUGCCGACCAGGGUUUCCAAAACAACAGUUUGCGACUCGAUGAAUUUUUUAUUAAUUAAAUCAUAGAAAUUUAAACGACUAAAAAUGAAAUCAUGUUAUGGCUUAGUCAC
Molecule: long non-coding RNA, 870 nt
Organism: Carassius auratus (goldfish)
Lineage: Eukaryota; Metazoa; Chordata; Actinopteri; Cypriniformes; Cyprinidae
Exons: 5
Source: RefSeq, a predicted model, not a curated record